UGGGGAAUAUUGGACAAUGGGGGGAACCCUGAUCCAGCCAUGCCGCGUGUGUGAAGAAGGCCUUAUGGUUGUAAAGCACUUUAAGCGAGGAGGAGGCUCUCUUGGUUAAUACCCAAGAUGAGUGGACGUUACUCGCAGAAUAAGCACCGGCUAACUCUGUGCCAGCAGCCGCGGUAAUACAGAGGGUGCGAGCGUUAAUCGGAUUUACUGGGCGUAAAGCGUGCGUAGGCGGCUUUUUAAGUCGGAUGUGAAAUCCCCGAGCUUAACUUGGGAAUUGCAUUCGAUACUGGGAAGCUAGAGUAUGUGAGAGGAUGGUAGAAUUCCAGGUGUAGCGGUGAAAUGCGUAGAGAUCUGGAGGAAUACCGAUGGCGAAGGCAGCCAUCUGGCCUAAUACUGACGCUGAGGUACGAAAGCAUGGGGAGCAAACAGG
RNAcentral lists this ribosomal RNA (430 nucleotides) under bacterium. RNAcentral describes it as "partial 16S ribosomal RNA". It matches the Rfam family "Bacterial small subunit ribosomal RNA", at positions 355 to 776 of the family's 1533-position model. The record is from RNAcentral.